Long non-coding RNA from Anoplopoma fimbria (sablefish), 733 nucleotides. RefSeq lists it as uncharacterized. The record is from RefSeq and is a predicted model, not a curated record. The transcript is spliced from 3 exons. Lineage: Eukaryota; Metazoa; Chordata; Actinopteri; Perciformes; Anoplopomatidae.
UUUUUGAGAAAAUAAUAGAGAGGAGGUCAAACAAGGGAAUAGAGGAGGUCAGAGUUCACUGGAAGUCUUGUUCAGCUUGUGGCAAAGAAUGGGAGGACACCUGGGAGCCUGCUGUUAAUUUUUCUAUCUAGCUGUUACUCUAGUUAUUGUUUAAAGAAAUCUGUUUUUAUUGACUUGUUUAUAUGUAAUUGGAAAAGAUCUUGUGCACUAUAAAUUAUGUCUUGUUUGCUUCAUACUCUUUGUUCUGUGUCUAACUUCGUCCCUUUUUGUUGUAUUUUAUCAUUUUUGUGUUACUUUUCAUAAAUUCCUAUUCUUAUUUAUUUCUUAAUCUGUAUGUAUUAUUUUUGCUUUAUUAUGUAGAUAUUAAUUUAUGUAUGUUGGGGGGUUAAUAAAAACAUUUUUAAGAAAAAACUUUUUUUCAUUACCCUUGCUGGACAUUGGAAAAUAUAAAUAUGUUUUAAUGUCGGAAUGUUGAGAUAAGGCUGAGUGUUAUAAGGACAUAUUGUGCUCAUUUUCAGGCUCAGACUUUUGGUUUCUGUUAGAACGUGUGGAAAGCUUUAGACGAUACCCACCCAGACAACCUGUUCAUACCAGCUGGAAGAGAUACAGACGUACGUAUCAGCUGUCGACCCAGCAGACUUCAGAACAGCUUCUUUCCUCUGGCUUUAAAACUCCUUAAAUCAUCCUCCACCCUCCACAUAUGAUAGCGUUUUUUUGUUUUCUUGUGUAGCAA